This is an RNA transcript of Ictalurus punctatus (channel catfish), 2036 nucleotides long. It is a transcript of the gene named GINS complex subunit 1 (Psf1 homolog), with no coding region annotated. The record is from RefSeq and is a predicted model, not a curated record. Lineage: Eukaryota; Metazoa; Chordata; Actinopteri; Siluriformes; Ictaluridae. The transcript has 6 exons.
UGUAUUGUACUAACCGGAAGUAUAUACUGUUUCCCGGCCGAGGACAAAUUACGUGAAACACACGUAAUGCGAUGGCGCCAGCAUGAGAGAAAUUAACAAGCAGAUUUAAAAAAAAAAAAAUGAACUGGUACAUUUUAUUGUUUACGAUGAUGUUUCCUUUUAUGCACUCAUCCACCAUCAGACGGAGGCGGAUUUUGCUUUGCACAAUUUAAAAUCAACAUUGUGGUUGUAGCUAUGGAUAUAGCCCCUCCCCAUCCUCUACAUAAGGGAAGCUGCGACCGUUGAGCGCCUGAAGUGUCCAUCAUUCCACGCUUCGUUUUUUCGGUUGAAUGAGUGCAUCAUCCGGGAACUUAAAGUGCACUUUGUGUUUCAGUGAGGAUGGCAUUCGACAAGUGCUUGAAGAAAAGAAAGCUUUAUACGAGCAAAACCAAAGUGAUGUGAAUGAAGCCAAGACUGAGGGCAAAACUGAACUAAUACCAACCAUCAAGUUUCGUCACUGCAGCUUGUUGAGGAACCAGCGCUGUACUGCAGCCUACCUUUAUGACCGGCUCCUGCAAAUCCGUGCUCUCAGAUGGGAGUAUGGAAGUGUGUUGCCCACAACAAUUCAGUUCCACAUGUGUGCAGAGGGCAUGUGAUUCAUUUUUAAUGCUAGUAGUAUCAGGGUUGUAUCCUAGUACUUUAAUCAAUGCCUCCUACAUCUGUUAACUCACGUUCCCAACCCUAGUGUACCCCUUGCCCUACUCAUAUUAGUGUUUUCUCUGCUCCCAACACACCUGAUACAAUUAAUCAGGUGAUGACCUUGAUGCGUUAGUAUGGAUGACUUGGAGCAAGGAAAACAAACAUGCUGGACAGGGAAUAGUCCAGGACCAGGGUUGGGAACCUGUGUGUUAACUCAUUAGCUGAAAAUUGAUCUAAGGAUGCAUCAACUCUUCCACUGUGAUCAGAGGAAUAAAAAUAAAGGUAGGCUGGUGGGUGGGAGGUAAAGAAGUAUUGUACUGGAAAAAAAGAAUACUAAGUGUAUAAUAUUAAGGUAAAAAACAAGGGCUAUAAAUGAAAACUCUUGGCUCUCAGAUGUGCUUGUAUAUUAAUAAAAUAUGCUCAGGUGUGUAGAGUGGUGUAAAUGCUAGAACAUCAACUUAAACAUUGAUUUAGUCAUAGGAUGUACAAGUACAAUAAUGUUCUGAUUGAAGUUAAUUUAGUAAUCACACUGUAUAUUCAGAUCCAUUAUGGCCAGUGACUGGCAAUACAGUUGUGCAGCAAGUCCUCAAUAAUCAACAUCACUUUAAAGUAGGGCUGUCUCUUUUGGCAAAUUUGUUUACUGCUGAACCUUCUCAUCACCCCAUUAUUGCAUUCCUCACAUCCUAAGUGAAAACAUAAGGUAGAGAUGCAAGGAGGACGAAGAGGCACAAUUAAUGAAAUCAGGAACACCCCGGGUUUGUUCCUGAUUUUCCUGUUUUGAACUUUGGAUAAUUGCUUUUUUCAAUCACCUGCUAGUUGGAGUGGUUUAAUCAGUACAAGAAGUCACUGGCCACAUAUAUGAGGUCACUUGGAGGAGAGGAGGGUCUGGACAUAACACAAGACAUGAAACCCCCUAAGAGCCUGUAUAUUGAGGUGCGCUGCUUGAAGGAUCAUGGGGAGUUUGAAAUCGAUGAUGGAACAGUUAUUCUCUUAAAGAAGAAUAGCCAGCAUUUUCUGCCCCGAUGGAAGUGUGAGCAGCUGAUUCGGCAGGGAGUACUGGAACACGUCAUUUCUUAACAUGACCUUUUUCGCGGGUUUUGAUAGUUAAUAACUUUAAAUUAACAUUUUGUGUCUGUCAAUUACAUGAAUUUCAGUAAUUCAAAGAAUUUAUCAAAGCAGUGUCCACUUGUUUUGCUGCAUGAAAUUUUACUGUCAAACUGUACAGUGAUUUCAUGUGUACAUCAUCUAUAUCACACUGCUGCUAUGGCUUAAGCAGGUCCAUUUUUCUUUUUUGAAUAAAUGCUGUGAAGGUGAUGAUACAGUUGAGAAUAAUCAAUAAAAUUACAGCUUUUGCAAAA